This 646-nucleotide long non-coding RNA is filed under the name Rattus norvegicus (Norway rat). RNAcentral describes it as "long non-coding RNA NONRATT030848". Lineage: Eukaryota; Metazoa; Chordata; Mammalia; Rodentia; Muridae. The record is from RNAcentral.
AAUGGUAAGCCAUUUCUAUUUUGGGCUAAUCUUCAGUUUCUUUUUAAAAAUAGCUUAGCUCUCCCCUCUCCCUCUACCCCUAGACAGGGUUUCAUGAAUUCCAAUCAGGGGUCUGAACUCACUUUUAGCCAGGAAUGAUCUUGAACUGACCUCCUGAAUGCUGGGGAUACAGGUGUGGUCACCUUGCUGCUUUAGGAGGUGCUGGGAACAACCCAGGGCAUCCCGUGUGUUAAGCACAUACUCCCAGCUAAGCUAAAUCCCCAGUUCCUCUUUCUAGAAAACAUCAUUAGUUAAACAUAUUCAGGGGAGAAGAGGUCACAGGUCUGUCCAGAUGCCCCAUCCUUUAGUGCAGGGUCAGCUCCCAGAACAGCUCUGCUCUGCUCUGUAAACUGCUGAUUCUCCUUACCUGUGAUUACCCCAGAUCUGCCUAUUUCCAAGAUGCCAUUUGAAGGGGAGGGGUCUGUUUCCCACUGUGACCAGGCUAUGGGAUCCUUGACCACCUUGCUUCAUGAUUUGAUACAUUUGUUGUAUUCAAAAACUUGAACUGUAGGAUGCCAUUAAGAGUCCGUUUACAUUUUUGGAAUAUUUGUAUUAUAAGUGUUAAAAAAAGGCCAGUUUAAAAACCUAAAAGAAAAGAAAAUAUCAU